CCGAGGGCGACUGAGGGUCUGAAAGAAGCGUGAAACGAACCAGCGGGUCGACGCACAGAAACCGGAUCAGAGGCGGGGCGCCGAGGGCGAGCGUGCGAGUGAACGCGAAGCUCUUCGUGGCCGAACACGGCGUCACGUGCAUCCGGCGAUCGCGCUGGGAAGGCCGGUGUC
This is a non-coding RNA of Plesiocystis pacifica SIR-1, 171 nucleotides long. Lineage: Bacteria; Pseudomonadati; Myxococcota; Nannocystales; Nannocystaceae. The record is from Rfam.